RNAcentral lists this unclassified non-coding RNA (238 nucleotides) under soil metagenome. RNAcentral's name for it is "partial internal transcribed spacer 1". The record is from RNAcentral.
CCAAUGACUAGGAACCAGUUGAGGUUGAUAGAUCUCCUGGUUGCUAAAAUCAAAUACCAUCUUUGUGCACCUUUUUUAUGUCUCUGGUGGUCGCAAGAGAAGUCUCUUAUUUGGAGGAUCUCUUCUAGUUCAUUUUGAUCCUCGGACAAAUGAAUGAAGCCACCAAAUGGUUGCUAUAACACACUUUUUUGCCGUCCAAAAUAUCUGUCUAACAUUGAUUUGUGUAAAAUACAUAAAA